Molecule: ribosomal RNA, 215 nt
Filed under: Vibrio parahaemolyticus
Lineage: Bacteria; Pseudomonadati; Pseudomonadota; Gammaproteobacteria; Vibrionales; Vibrionaceae
Description: partial 16S ribosomal RNA
Rfam family: Bacterial small subunit ribosomal RNA
Source: RNAcentral
AAAUUGAAGAGUUUGAUCAUGGCUCAGAUUGAACGCUGGCGGCAGGCCUAACACAUGCAAGUCGAGCGGAAACGAGUUGUCUGAACCUUCGGGGAACGAUAACGGCGUCGAGCGGCGGACGGGUGAGUAAUGCCUAGGAAAUUGCCCUGAUGUGGGGGAUAACCAUUGGAAACGAUGGCUAAUACCGCAUGAUGCCUACGGGCCAAAGAGGGGGA